GCAGAUAAGCAUAUCAAUAAGCGGAGGAAAAGAAACCAACAGGGAUUGCCCUAGUAACGGCGAGUGAAGCGGCAACAGCUCAAAUUUGAAAUCUGGCUCUUUUAGAGUCCGAGUUGUAAUUUGCAGAGGGCGCUUUGGCUUUGGCAGCGGUCCAAGUUCCUUGGAACAGGACGUCACAGAGGGUGAGAAUCCCGUACGUGGUCGCUAGCUAUUGCCGUGUAAAGCCCCUUCGACGAGUCGAGUUGUUUGGGAAUGCAGCUCUAAAUGGGAGGUAAAUUUCUUCUAAAGCUAAAUACUGGCCAGAGACCGAUAGCGCACAAGUAGAGUGAUCGAAAGAUGAAAAGCACUUUGGAAAGAGAGUCAAACAGCACGUGAAAUUGUUGAAAGGGAAGCGCUUGCAGCCAGACUUGCUUGCAGUUGCUCACCCGGGCCUCUGUGCCCGGUGCAUUCUUCUGCAGGCAGGCCAGCAUCAGUUUGGGCGGUGGGAUAAAGGUCUCUGUCACGUACCUCUCUUCGGGGAGGCCUUAUAGGGGAGACGACAUACCACCAGCCUGGACUGAGGUCCGCGCAUUUAUGCUAGGAUGCUGGCGUAAUGGCUGUAAGCGGCCCGUCUUGAAACACGGACCAAGGAGUCUAACAUCUAUGCGAGUGUUUGGGUGUCAAGCCCGAACGCGUAAUGAAAGUGAACGGAGGUGGGAACCCGCAAGGGUGCACCAUCGACCGAUCCUGAUGUCUUCGGAAGGAUUUGAGUAAGAGCAUGGCUGUUGGGACCCGAAAGAUGGUGAACUAUGCUUGAAUAGGGUGAAGCCAGAGGAAACUCUGGUGGAGGCUCGCAGCGGUUCUGACGUGCAAAUCGAUCGUCAAAUUUGGGCAUAGGGGCGAAAGACUAAUCGAACUUGCUAGCGGA
RNAcentral lists this ribosomal RNA (907 nucleotides) under Pyrenophora trichostoma. RNAcentral's name for it is "partial large subunit ribosomal RNA". It matches the Rfam family "Eukaryotic large subunit ribosomal RNA", at positions 30 to 951 of the family's 3401-position model. Lineage: Eukaryota; Fungi; Ascomycota; Dothideomycetes; Pleosporales; Pleosporaceae. The record is from RNAcentral.